CCGUGCUAGGUGGGGAGUUAGCGGUGCCCUGUACCCGCGAUCCGCUUCAGCGGGGCUGAAUCCCCGCCCGAGGCCCGGAAGGUCCGGGGCAGCCCUCGGAACGAAGCGUUGAAGGUCGGGUCCUGCGCGACAUCGGCCCGCGAACCCGGUCAGGUCCGGAAGGAAGCAGCCGUAAGCGGAAGCCGGUGGGUGCCGCAGGUACGCCUGGCCGGAGCUGUCGUUCCAGGUAGCGUCCGAGUCAUCCGUGGUCGACGGUGGGUGCACGG
This 266-nucleotide signal recognition particle RNA is filed under the name Actinomycetota bacterium. Its description in RNAcentral is "signal recognition particle sRNA large type". It matches the Rfam family "Bacterial large signal recognition particle RNA". Rfam says of the family: The signal recognition particle (SRP) is a universally conserved ribonucleoprotein involved in the co-translational targeting of proteins to membranes. Archaeal SRP consists of a 7S RNA and homologues of the eukaryotic SRP19 and SRP54 proteins. Lineage: Bacteria; Bacillati; Actinomycetota. The record is from RNAcentral.